This 59-nucleotide transfer RNA is filed under the name Loxodonta africana (African savanna elephant). It matches the Rfam family "tRNA". From Rfam's summary of the family: Transfer RNA (tRNA) molecules are approximately 80 nucleotides in length. Their secondary structure includes four short double-helical elements and three loops (D, anti-codon, and T loops). Further hydrogen bonds mediate the characteristic L-shaped molecular structure. tRNAs have two regions of fundamental functional importance: the anti-codon, which is responsible for specific mRNA codon recognition, and the 3' end, to which the tRNAs corresponding amino acid is attached (by aminoacyl-tRNA synthetases). tRNAs cope with the degeneracy of the genetic code in two manners: having more than one tRNA (with a specific anti-codon) for a particular amino acid; and 'wobble' base-pairing, i.e. permitting non-standard base-pairing at the 3rd anti-codon position. Lineage: Eukaryota; Metazoa; Chordata; Mammalia; Proboscidea; Elephantidae. RNAcentral also lists the same sequence under 1 other name. The record is from Rfam by way of RNAcentral.
AGUGGUUAAGAGCUUGGCUGCUAACCAAAAGGUUGGUGGUUCGAAUCCACCAGCCACUC